AGGUAACUCUACCAUGGAGAAACCUGCCAGACACCAUGUGAACCAAGAUCGGAGUUAACAUCCCCGGUUAACAGGGACAAAUCAACACCGCAUAGCUCUCAACACGGUGCUCUGAGAAGGCCUGGCAUCCCUGUUGGUACUACGGUGUUCUGCUAAAAAUGCUGAACUUGAAUUUGAUCAUGAGAAACAUGAGACACACUCAACUGCGGGACAUUCUACAAAAUAACUGCUUUUACUCUUCAAAAUAAGCAAGACCAAGAAAGACAAAGGAAAAACUGAAGAUCGUUCCAGCUUCAGGCAGACUAAGGAGACAUGACAAGUAAAUGGAACGUGUCAUCCUGGAUUGGAUUCUGGACCAGGAAAAGAACAUUAGUGGGACAGUUGGCAAAAUCUUAAUGAGCAAACGGAGUCUUGGUUGGAUUAAGUAGCUUGCCCAAGUCCCAGGGCUAGUCCAUGGCAGAGUCAAGAUUUGGUUACAGGUAGGUUCACUCCAGUGCCUGCAUGCUUCGACACUUUGUAACAAAUAUUUAUUGAGUGUCUAUUAGGUGCUAACUGCUUUUCACAUAAUGCUUUAUUUAACUCUCACUGUAACCUUUUGCAGUAGGUAUUUCCAUUCUGGUUUUAUGGAUGGGGACAUGGCUGCUCAAAGAGAUUAAAGGAUGGACCUAUAACAUCCUAUGGCUAAGAAAUAGCA
Molecule: long non-coding RNA, 694 nt
Filed under: Callithrix jacchus (white-tufted-ear marmoset)
Lineage: Eukaryota; Metazoa; Chordata; Mammalia; Primates; Cebidae
Description: lncRNA (ENSCJAG00000073053.1)
Source: RNAcentral